RNAcentral lists this ribosomal RNA (252 nucleotides) under uncultured bacterium. RNAcentral describes it as "partial 16S ribosomal RNA". It matches the Rfam family "Bacterial small subunit ribosomal RNA", at positions 524 to 775 of the family's 1533-position model. The record is from RNAcentral.
UACGUAGGGUGCAAGCGUUAAUCGGAAUUACUGGGCGUAAAGCGUGCGCAGGCGGUUAUGUAAGACAGGUGUGAAAUCCCCGGGCUUAACCUGGGAACUGCAUUUGUGACUGCAUAGCUAGAGUACGGUAGAGGGGGAUGGAAUUCCGCGUGUAGCAGUGAAAUGCGUAGAUAUGCGGAGGAACACCGAUGGCGAAGGCAAUCCCCUGGACCUGUACUGACGCUCAUGCACGAAAGCGUGGGGAGCAACAGG